CGGGAUUGCUGAACUUUAAAAAUCGUCUCAUUCAUCACUAAACCACUAAACUUUGCAAAUUUUAGUGAUAAAUAGGGUGAUUUUUAAAGUUCAGUGAUCCCG
This 102-nucleotide microRNA precursor is filed under the name Olea europaea subsp. europaea. Lineage: Eukaryota; Viridiplantae; Streptophyta; Magnoliopsida; Lamiales; Oleaceae. The record is from RNAcentral.